GACGGGGGGGGCAAGUGUUCUUCGGAAUGACUGGGGGUAAAGGGCACGUAGGCGGUGAAUCGGGUUGAAAGUGAAAGUCGCCAAAAAGUGGCGGAAUGCUCUCGAAACCAAUUCACUUGAGUGAGACAGAGGAGAGUGGAAUUUCGUGUGUAGGGGUGAAAUCCGUAAAUAUACGAAGGAACGCCAAAAGCGAAGGCAGCUCUCUGGGUCCCUACCGACGCUGGGGUGCGAAAGCAUGGGGAGCGAACAGG
This 251-nucleotide ribosomal RNA is filed under the name uncultured bacterium. RNAcentral describes it as "partial 16S ribosomal RNA". It matches the Rfam family "Bacterial small subunit ribosomal RNA", at positions 524 to 776 of the family's 1533-position model. The record is from RNAcentral.